This 239-nucleotide unclassified non-coding RNA is filed under the name uncultured Mortierellomycotina. Its description in RNAcentral is "sequence contains ITS1". Lineage: Eukaryota; Fungi; Mortierellomycota. The record is from RNAcentral.
CAAAGAUCGAUUCCUACAAACUAAAUAUGGACGAUCAAAUCCAUAUCCACCUUGUGUGCACUCAUUGACCGUUUGCUUUGGCAGGAAGGAGCCUCCGAUCCGGAGGUGCUGAGGUGUCCAUUUAUUUGUGACAGCCUCGGGCCUGCCAGAGUUUUUUUUCCUGAACUCACGCCUAUUCUUCUGGACUGAACCUUUGUCCCGAUUCUCUUGUAGGAUCGGUCAAACUAAAUAAAAAAAUA